UGCCAGACUCCUACGGGAGGCAGCAGUGAGGAAUAUUGGUCAAUGGCCGAGAGGCUGAAUCAGCCAAGUCGCGUGAGGGAUGACGGCCCUACGGGUUGUAAACCUCUUUUGCCGGGGAGCAAAGAGCGGGACGCGUCCCGCCUCGAGAGUACCCGGAGAAAAAGCAUCGGCUAACUCCGUGCCAGCAGCCGCGGUAAUACGGAGGAUGCGAGCGUUAUCCGGAUUUAUUGGGUUUAAAGGGUGCGCAGGCGGAAGAUCAAGUCAGGGGUAAAAUUGAGGGGCUCAACCUCUUCGAGCCGUUGAAACUGGUUUUCUUGAGUGAGCGAGAAGUAUGCGGAAUGCGUGGUGUAGCGGUGAAAUGCAUAGAUAUCACGCAGAACUCCGAUUGCGAAGGCAGCAUACCGGCGCUCAACUGACGCUCAUGCACGAAAGUGUGGGUAUCGAACAGGAUUAGAUACCCUUGUAUA
Molecule: ribosomal RNA, 467 nt
Filed under: uncultured bacterium
Lineage: Bacteria
Description: bacterial SSU rRNA
Rfam family: Bacterial small subunit ribosomal RNA
Source: RNAcentral